This is a long non-coding RNA of Asparagus officinalis (garden asparagus), 2551 nucleotides long. RefSeq lists it as uncharacterized. The transcript has 4 exons. The record is from RefSeq and is a predicted model, not a curated record. Lineage: Eukaryota; Viridiplantae; Streptophyta; Magnoliopsida; Asparagales; Asparagaceae.
UGACUCGCCCAUUCAUUGCUUCGAGUUUCGUGUGGGCUCUCGUAGACAAUUUUAGACGCCUACAGUUGUUGCUAAAUAGAUUGAGUUUAAUGUUUUCAAACUUCAUAUUCUUUGUGUUUGUUGUCACUUUGAAGCAGAAUGGUCGUUACCGUAUUGCGAAUGAACAAAAGGAUUCAUUUGGGGCCUCGGAGUUCCCGAGGGCCUCGGGGUUCAUUUUAUUCUAUUUUCUCUGAUUUUUUGAUGAUUUUUUCAGCGGUUUCCUUGGGAUCCAAGGUUCGAUAUCCUCUUCGAUCCAGCGCGAGAUCGAAGGCGUCAGCGAUCGAUGAUUCAUCUGAAUCUUCUUCAGUUUCUCAAAGUAAUCGUAUGUUUAGCAAUGAGGAUGUUACUAUUGGAGCUAUGAUGCUUGCAAUGCAAUCAUGAAGAUAAUUGGGCACUUUGUUCUCCAGACUGUACAACAUCUUCAAUUUCUGUUUGGGACAUUCCUAAGUGCUCAGGGUUAUGCAACCCAGAGGCAAAGAUGUUAAUGCUCCAUAAAAGAGAAAUUUGUUCGAGCAGUCCUACUUCUGCUCAAUAGUCAGUUUUGUUCAGUUCAUACUUUUACCAAUCAAUACCUUCCAAGAGAAGCCUGUACAGGAAACCAUCCCCAAUCUGGGAACAGUGUGUGAUUGAAAUUCAUUGCUCGCCGGAUGCUUAUUUAUUUGCUAAGGAUCAAAUUCUUAUGUAUAUGUUCAUCUUGUCCAUUACUUUGAGGUCAUAUACACAAAUUUUAUCAAUUUUUUCAUUGCCCAUGCAAACUGCAGAUGUCCGGUGAUUGUUCGAUAAAAUGGAUAAAUGCAUUACUGAAUGAUUGAAGUUUAUAAAAUUGUAGCUUAAUAUACAAGUUGAUUCAGAACCAGAUUAAUACCUAAGAUAAAAGUCUGUAUUCAGGUUAACAGAUUUUCAUUAUUAAGUGGAUUAGAUUGGCUUAGUGAAAGCCAACCAUGAUCUCAACUCAUCUGCAGAAAUCAUAACCCGAAUGCAAUCGCAACUUUCUAUUUCUUAAUUCAGCCUGAUCAUGAAUUACCAUGACUGUAGUGAGUCGGAUCAGUUGAGUUCGGAAUGGAUGGCUAGAUUGAUCUAUCAAAUUGAUUUUAAAAUUCAGACGCUCUAUAUUUAUACGUGCAAACUUUUAGAGAAAUAUAUAACUGAAUUGGGUAAAAAAAUGGAGUAAAUCAAAGUAUACAAAAAUAAAAUCGGCCGUCCGUUCCGAACUCAAGGUAAUAAGAAAUUAUUUGAACAUGGUAUUACUUGGUGAAUAAACAGCAAAAAGAAUGAAGUAUUAAUACUUUUGAUGAUUGUUCUGUGAUUUGUUUCAAUAGACAUUUUGAAGCAAAAAGCAAAGGUAAAGUAGAAAAAUGAGGGUGAUGCAAAUACUUCAUACUUUCAUGCAUCCAUCAAACAGAGGAUGCAUAACAAUAAAUUGUUGCUCUUUAUAAGAGAGAGGGAGUUAAGGUUACCGAUAUAAGGAAGAUGUGAAGAAUGAAUUAAUUAGCUUUUAUAAGAAUAUGCUUGCGGAUUCUACUAAUGUCCAGAUUGUUGAUCCUAAAGCCUAUGAGAGAGGGGUAAAUUUUCUGAAGAUAAUUGCAUUCAGUUAUGCAAAAUUAUUACUAUCCAGGAGAUCAAAGAAGCUCUGUUUCAGAUUAAUCCUAAGACGAGCCCUGUCCCAGAUGGUUUUUCUUUUAAGAUCAUUGAAAAGGAUGUAUAUGAUGCAGUGAUGAGUUUCCUCAAGCACAGUUAACUAUUUAGAGAGCGGUUUCCUCGGGAUCCAAGCUCCGGCAUCAUCUUCGAUCCAGCGCGAGAUCGAAGGCGGCGGAUCAUUUGAUUUUAAUUUGCACAAAGGAGGAUGUAAGAAUUUGCGAGGAUCAGGGAGAAAUACCCUAUAAGAAGUUUCAAGGUCUCUCUUGCCAUCUCUCUCAUUUUGAACUCUUUCUCAACACAACCCCCUUUCUAUGUUUCCUUUUGUUGACGUUGUUUGCUUAUUAUCAUUUUUCUAUUAUUUUUGUCGUUCCAAAUAAUAUUGCAAAUGUAGAUUUGAUAUGGAUUUGAUCGUUCAUAGUUUGUAUUAGAUUUUCAUGCUUUGGGUUUUGGUUUGACUUGAAAGUUGAGAAUAUUGAACAUAAUUCUCAAGUUACAUUGCAGGAUGCAGCAGGAUCUUUUUACGUGGGAUUCUGAUGUCAUUCAUAUUACAUGGAUGAUGUAGCACUAAGUGGAGAUUAAAUUCGGUCCACUAUUAUUUCAUUUGGAUUUUUGUCUAAACUAAGAGUGUUGCAUGCAAUAAACUAAAGCUUUGAUCUUUUGCAUGUUCAGAUAUUGUUGCGGCAUUUUUUUUAAUCAAGGCAUAAGUUCCUUUCAAGCGCCUUUCUAUUAUUUUAGAAUGAUAUAUGUAGUUUGGACACAAACUUUUUAACCAAUACAAGGCAUUGAUUGUUUAGUUUAGAUAACCAUUUUGGUUUUUAUUUACAAAUUCUAUCAAUAUCUUACGUAUGAAUAAUAUUAAGCACUCAUUGUGGUU